AGUCACUGACAUUAGAUACCCGUGUAGUCCUAGCCGUAAACGAUACUCGCUAGGUGUCGGCCACGGUGCGACCGUUGUCGGUGCCGUAGGGAAGCCGUGAAGCGAGCCACCUGAGAAGUACGGCCGCAAGGCUGAAACUUAAAGGAAUUGGCGGGGAGCACCACAAGAGGUGGAGGCUGCGGUUCAAUUGGACUCAACGCCGGAAAACUCAUCGGGAGCGACAGCAGUAUGAUUGCCAGGUUGAUGACCUUGCUUGACAAGCUG
RNAcentral lists this ribosomal RNA (264 nucleotides) under uncultured archaeon. RNAcentral describes it as "partial 16S ribosomal RNA". It matches the Rfam family "Archaeal small subunit ribosomal RNA", at positions 717 to 982 of the family's 1478-position model. The record is from RNAcentral.